This 49-nucleotide non-coding RNA is filed under the name Trichobilharzia regenti. The record is from RNAcentral. Lineage: Eukaryota; Metazoa; Platyhelminthes; Trematoda; Strigeidida; Schistosomatidae.
AUCCUGAUGACGAGUCCUAGCAUAGGACGAAAUCCACUAGAUUCUGGAU